Molecule: long non-coding RNA, 1906 nt
Organism: Cyprinus carpio carpio
Lineage: Eukaryota; Metazoa; Chordata; Actinopteri; Cypriniformes; Cyprinidae
Source: Ensembl
GGGAGACCAAAGGUGGAAAAGAACUUAAUCAGACUCUUAAUAAUUGUCUUCGCUGUAAUUAUCCGGAGAGGAAUAGCCUCCGGGUACCGAGUGGCGCUGCACAUAAUGGUAAGCAGAAACUGGUUACCUGUUCGAGUUUUUGGUAAUGGACCCACACAGUCAACAAUCACCCUCUCAAACGAUUCUCCAAUCACAGGAAUCGGGUGAAGUGGCACACGAGGAACAGGUUGGUUCACUUUCCCUGCAAGUUGACAUACAUGACAGGUUUUACAGUAUUGCACAAUGUCUGAUUUUAAUCCUGGCCAGAAGAAAUGUCGGAGGACUCUGUUGUAUGUUUUAGUUACCCCUAAAUGUCCGGACCAUGCAGGGUUAUGAGCCAGUGACAAUACUUGCUGCCGUAAUGGUGAUGGAACAACUACCUGCCAAACUGUAUCCCAGUCCUCACCUGUUUUAUGUGCAGUCCAUUUACGCAUUAGAACACCAGCGUCCACAAGCCUCUCUGAUGUGAUGGAUGACAACACAUCACCUAACUGGGGAGCGACCCCGCAUCCCCCUUUCUCAGCCUGCACAGAAGGAACAGUAGGAGGGUCUGAAAAUCGUGAUGCACCGACCACUGGUGAAGCGGAUGUCCUGCUCUGACUGGAUGCUGUAAACACCAUUUUAUGUGUUAAGGCAUAUUCAUCUGCCAGGACCGCUGCCUGACCCAACGUCGCCACCUUCUUUUCACUAAGAUGCAUCACAAUUCUUUCAGACGGGCCGUUUUCAGCUUCAACCGAGCAACCUCUACAGACUCGGGGGACACAGGAGACAACGGGUCAUACUUUGGCAGAGUUCGAGGCACCGGAGUUUCCCCACCUCCCACACCGCCCCUCAAUCGUGCAGGCGAGGGAUUUUCUACGGCACCCUCGUCCUCCCUCUCAUCCUCUGUUUCCACAUCCUCCACAGCCAUAACUCCUACCCUUGACAGACUCAAUAAAUGGUUUUUGAUCACCAUUACUAAAUUUGCUUUACGAGCCUGCCUAUCAACUGUAAUUUUGUAGUAGUCCACUAGCGCUAACAAAUCAACCUUACGCAGGUUAACCAAUGAACCCAAUGAGGGCUCCGCAAUAAAGCCUGCCACAUCUGAAGUAGCCGCCAUGCUCACACCUCAUCCAGUACAAUCCUGCACUACUCAGUACUCAAACACCACAAGCUACAAAUACUAACAAACUACACGACAGAACAACAACUACUAUACUUUACUCACACCCCAACACCACACCCCAAUCACCGAGCACAGGGCAAUCCGAGCAGCGGGGCGCCAAGAUCCCAGACGAGCCCCCAUUUGUUACGUUCUAACUCCCAAAAGGGAGGGGAGCCUGACAACCCCCUGCUCGGGCCCACCGAUGCCAGCGAAGGAGGUAUGGAGUCGCAGUGCGAGAAAAGGACACAAACACCAAAUACCGUAUAAAAACAAAGCUUUUAUUUGGCCAUGGUAAUAUUAUACAUAAUAAACCAUUUUCUGGGAAAAGGGGAGGACUAGACGGACCAAAACAAAGAAAUAAACAAAAAAAAAACCCACCCCUAACCUAUACUAAUCCCCAAUAAAAAAAUAAAUAAAUACAAUCCCUAUCUGGCACACGAUCAAGGCGCCCUAACCAAACUUACAGCUGGUGGUCCGCCCAGGUCUAGCUAGUGUUUCUAGACAGAGAAGUAUACCUACGGGUGAGGUAUGUAUACCCCGGGGUAGCUCUAAAUCUACUCCCCAACUCCCUAUAAACAACAGAGAGAAAAAAAAAAAAAAAAGAAUCCACAAACACACAAGUGCUCCGUCCUGCUACUACAAGUUCCAAAAAAAAAUUGGAACACAAGUUAGGUUUACUAACACACAAAAACAGUUUAAAACUAUUCUCAGUUGUUUCAAUCA